CCUACGGGAGGCAGCAGUGAGGAAUCUUGGUCAAUGGACGCAAGUCUGAACCAGCCAUGCCGCGUGCAGGAAGACGGCUCUAUGAGUUGUAAACUGCUUUUGUACGAGGGUAAAUCCCGAUACGUGUAUCGGGUUGAAAGUAUCGUACGAAUAAGGAUCGGCUAACUCCGUGCCAGCAGCCGCGGUAAUACGGAGGAUUCAAGCGUUAUCCGGAUUUAUUGGGUUUAAAGGGUGCGUAGGCGGUUCGAUAAGUUAGCGGUGAAAUCCCGGGGCUGAACUCCGGCACUGCCUCUGAUACUGUCGGGCUAGAGUUGAGUUGCGAUAGGCGAAAUGAAAGGAGUAGCGGUGAAAUGCAUAGAGAACAUACAGAGCACCGAUUGCGAAGGAAGCAGACCGGCGCUCAACUGACGCUCAUGCACGAAAGUGUAGGUAUCGAACAGGAUUAGAUACCCAAGUAGUC
This 460-nucleotide ribosomal RNA is filed under the name uncultured bacterium. Its description in RNAcentral is "partial 16S ribosomal RNA". It matches the Rfam family "Bacterial small subunit ribosomal RNA", at positions 338 to 795 of the family's 1533-position model. The record is from RNAcentral.